CAAUAGCGUAUAUUAAAGUUGUUGCGGUAAAAAAGCUCGUAGUUGGAUUUCUACCGAAGAUAGCCGGUCGGGUCUUCGACCUUGUAUCUGGUUUUGUCUUUGGUAUCCUCAUAGGGAACGUUUCUGCGCUUUAUUGCGUGGUGCGGUAUCUAUGACUUUUACUUUGAGGAAAUUAGAGUGUUCACGGCAGGCAAACGCCUUGAAUAUAUUAGCAUGGAAUAAUAACAUAGGAUCUUCGUCCUAUUUUGUUGGUUUCUAGGGCUAAGAUAAUGAUUAAUAGGGAUAAUUGGGGGCAUCUGUAUCAACGCGUCAGAGGUGGAAUUCUUGGAUUGCGUUGCGACAAACUACUGCGAAGGCAUUUGCCAAGGAUGUUUUCAUUGA
RNAcentral lists this ribosomal RNA (381 nucleotides) under uncultured eukaryote. RNAcentral describes it as "partial 18S ribosomal RNA". It matches the Rfam family "Eukaryotic small subunit ribosomal RNA", at positions 592 to 976 of the family's 1831-position model. The record is from RNAcentral.